CCUACGGGUGGCUGCAGUAAGGAAUAUUGGACAAUGCCCGGAAGGGUGAUCCAGCCAUGCCGCGUGCAGGAAGACGGCCCUAUGGGUUGUAAACUGCUUUUGCACCAGGGAAAACCCCAUUACGUGUAAUGGGCUGAUAGUAUGGUGAGAAUAAGCAUCGGCUAACUUCGUGCCAGCAGCCGCGGUAAGACGAAGGAUGCAAGCGUUAUCCGGAUUCAUUGGGUUUAAAGGGAGCGUAGGUGGAGGAAUAAGUCAGUGGUGAAAGCCCAUCGCUU
RNAcentral lists this ribosomal RNA (275 nucleotides) under uncultured bacterium. Its description in RNAcentral is "partial 16S ribosomal RNA". It matches the Rfam family "Bacterial small subunit ribosomal RNA", at positions 338 to 610 of the family's 1533-position model. The record is from RNAcentral.